UUAAAUUGAAGAGUUUGAUCAUGGCUCAGAUUGAACGCUGGCGGCAGGCCUAACACAUGCAAGUCGAACGGUAACAGGAAGCAGCUUGCUGCUUUGCUGACGAGUGGCGGACGGGUGAGUAAUGUCUGGGAAACUGCCUGAUGGAGGGGGAUAACUACUGGAAACGGUGGCUAAUACCGCAUAACGUCGCAAGACCAAAGAGGGGGACCUUCGGGCCUCUUGCCAUCAGAUGUGCCCAGAUGGGAUUAGCUUGUUGGUGAGGUAACGGCUCACCAAGGCGACGAUCCCUAGCUGGUCUGAGAGGAUGACCAGCCACACUGGAACUGAGACACGGUCCAGACUCCUACGGGAGGCAGCAGUGGGGAAUAUUGCACAAUGGGCGCAAGCCUGAUGCAGCCAUGCCGCGUGUAUGAAGAAGGCCUUCGGGUUGUAAAGUACUUUCAGCGGGGAGGAAGGUGUUGUGGUUAAUAACCGCAGCAAUUGACGUUACCUGCAGAAGAAGCACCGGCUAACUCCGUGCCAGCAGCCGCGGUAAUACGGAGGGUGCAAGCGUUAAUCGGAAUUACUGGGCGUAAAGCGCACGCAGGCGGUCUGUCAAGUCGGAUGUGAAAUCCCCGGGCUCAACCUGGGAACUGCAUUCGAAACUGGCAGGCUUGAGUCUUGUAGAGGGGGUAGAAUUCCAGGUGUAGCGGUGAAAUGCGUAGAGAUCUGGAGGAAUACCGGUGGCGAAGGCGGCCCCCUGGACAAAGACUGACGCUCAGGUGCGAAAGCGUGGGGAGCAAACAGGAUUAGAUACCCUGGUAGUCCACGCCGUAAACGAUGUCUACUUGGAGGUUGUGCCCUUGAGGCGUGGCUUCCGGAGCUAACGCGUUAAGUAGACCGCCUGGGGAGUACGGCCGCAAGGUUAAAACUCAAAUGAAUUGACGGGGGCCCGCACAAGCGGUGGAGUAUGUGGUUUAAUUCGAUGCAACGCGAAGAACCUUACCUGGUCUUGACAUCCACAGAAGAAUCCAGAGAUGGAUUUGUGCCUUCGGGAACUGUGAGACAGGUGCUGCAUGGCUGUCGUCAGCUCGUGUUGUGAAAUGUUGGGUUAAGUCCCGCAACGAGCGCAACCCUUAUCCUUUGUUGCCAGCGAUUAGGUCGGGAACUCAAAGGAGACUGCCAGUGAUAAACUGGAGGAAGGUGGGGAUGACGUCAAGUCAUCAUGGCCCUUACGACCAGGGCUACACACGUGCUACAAUGGCGCAUACAAAGAGAAGCGACCUCGCGAGAGCAAGCGGACCUCAUAAAGUGCGUCGUAGUCCGGAUUGGAGUCUGCAACUCGACUCCAUGAAGUCGGAAUCGCUAGUAAUCGUGGAUCAGAAUGCCACGGUGAAUACGUUCCCGGGCCUUGUACACACCGCCCGUCACACCAUGGGAGUGGGUUGCAAAAGAAGUAGGUAGCUUAACCUUCGGGAGGGCGCUUACCACUUUGUGAUUCAUGACUGGGGUGAAGUCGUAACAAGGUAACCGUAGGGGAACCUGCGGUUGGAUCACCUCCUUACCUGAAAGAAGC
This 1555-nucleotide ribosomal RNA is filed under the name Salmonella enterica subsp. enterica serovar Pullorum str. ATCC 9120. RNAcentral's name for it is "bacterial SSU rRNA". It matches the Rfam family "Bacterial small subunit ribosomal RNA". Lineage: Bacteria; Pseudomonadati; Pseudomonadota; Gammaproteobacteria; Enterobacterales; Enterobacteriaceae. The record is from RNAcentral.